Long non-coding RNA from Cucurbita moschata (crookneck pumpkin), 603 nucleotides. RefSeq lists it as uncharacterized. Lineage: Eukaryota; Viridiplantae; Streptophyta; Magnoliopsida; Cucurbitales; Cucurbitaceae. The record is from RefSeq and is a predicted model, not a curated record. The transcript is spliced from 2 exons.
CAUCUCUUUGAAUUGUCUCUACUUUUGUCUCUUCUCCCUUCCAAAAUGGUGGUUGUUUCCUUGCAAAUCGACCGUUUCUCCACCCGCUUCGUCUCCCACGGUGACGUGGCUCGGUGUUGCGUGUAUCUGGAGAAUGGCGGCGAUGACGAUGAUGACGAUGAUAGGGUCGACGUUGCGCCCGCCGCGUAAUUAUACGUACUUGCAUUAUGAGAGGACAGAGAUGUGGGUUCGGGGAUUAUACAUUAGGGUUUAGGGUUACGAAGGAAAGAAAAUACGAGUUUAAAGUCUACUAUUGAGUUGACUUGAGCUAGCUUGAAUCACAUCUAGACAAAUUGAAGCAGGACGAAGAGCAAUGACGUAAAUUACACGAUGCAGCGGAAAAUAAAGGUAUGUAUGUUUCCGGACAAACCCGUAUCUAAAACUUCCUUUACUGCCUCUUUUUUUACUUCAAGGGUUCUUUCUUUUACUUCAAGUGAUUUUCCUGCAGUAAUUUCAAGACUACCAUAAUUCACUCUAUGUUUCUCUUACUUGGGGCAGUAAAAAACUUCCCAUAUUAACUGUGUUUAUUUGAAUCAGUAAAAAACUUCCCAUAUUAACUGUGUU